Molecule: non-coding RNA, 91 nt
Organism: Felis catus (domestic cat)
Lineage: Eukaryota; Metazoa; Chordata; Mammalia; Carnivora; Felidae
Source: Rfam
ACCUGGGUGGCUCAGUCGGUUGAGCGUCCGACUCUUGAUUUCGGCUCAGGUCAUGAUCCCAGAGUUGUGGGAUCAAGCCCCGUCUCAGGCA